UAGAGUCAUGAAGCAGAUGCAUGCUAGUGCUGCGUUGUACUCUACAAGCCAAUUGGAAUCUGCUGUGAAGUUAAAAUACUGAAAUAUGAUUGCCAAUACCAAGAAGACUAUCCCAACAACAAUACCCAAUGAUUCAGGCACUUUAACAGUGCCCUGAGGGGUACCCUUCUUGUUAAUAUCAUAACCAAAAAGAUUCCUCCUCAAAACGUAUCGAGAAGCCACAGGAAUCAUCUUGACAGUCAAGAAGAAUCCUGCAAGGCUAAGGACAGCAUUGAUGAGGAUUGAUAUUUUGAGGUCAUGCUGGAUUUUGUAGUGGUAGAAAAGCAAAUAAAAGUAAGGAGCGAUAAGCAAGAGAGAGAGCUUGAAAAUGGAGGCAGAUUUUGGAGGAGCAAUUGGUGAGUCAGUAGUUUCUUGGGGUUUGUGAUCGGUUUUGGUAUCGGUACAGACUGAUUUCGCGGUGCUUGUGUCUGUGGCCGCUAACGCCCUCUUGCGAGCUGCCAUGCCUCACUCGAACUUCUCUGUUUCUCUGCAAGUCUGUGUCUCUCCACCAUA
RNAcentral lists this unclassified non-coding RNA (552 nucleotides) under Hevea brasiliensis (rubber tree). Lineage: Eukaryota; Viridiplantae; Streptophyta; Magnoliopsida; Malpighiales; Euphorbiaceae. The record is from RNAcentral.